Molecule: long non-coding RNA, 2371 nt
Organism: Oncorhynchus tshawytscha (Chinook salmon)
Lineage: Eukaryota; Metazoa; Chordata; Actinopteri; Salmoniformes; Salmonidae
Exons: 3
Source: RefSeq, a predicted model, not a curated record
GAAUGGACACACUUUAGGAAGUAAAUCUAAGCAAAGAGAUGUAUUUAAUCCACUUAUACUAAAAACAUGUGCAUUUAACAUAAAAACAUCUCUAUAUUUAGUAUUUUGAUCGCCGACAAGGUUUAUUUGAGCUACGGUCAGCGCCAUUUUAAAUUGCCAGAGUAACGACUGAUGCCAGUGCUCACUGGCAGGCAUCAGCAAAUUGUCUGUGGUAUUGAGUUUUUGUGCUGAGAGUGAAUGAAGAGAGUGAGGUUAGGGGCGGACAACGAAGAUGGCAACAGGAAGUUGUAAUUCAAACAUGCAUUGUAUAGCGCCAGGCUGUAUGAAUUGGCCCCCAAAAAUCCCUCUGUAAACUACCAUCGGCUUCCCAUGGACCUACAACUUUAGAAGUGGCUCCAUGUCCUGAAAAUUAAGGACAUGCCAGCUUGACCUAGCAGGAUCUGCAGACAGCACUUUGCGGAGGCAGAAUUCGCAAUGAAGGUCACUUUCGAUGAGGAAACUGGGAGUUUCCGAAUGGAAAGGAGUCAUAGGCCUACGUUGAAGCCCUCUGCUUGCGCCUCCAUUUGAAAUUGAGGGUUAUGGUGUAGGGGUUACCAACCGACCAUCAUGAACAUCACGGAUUUUUGGAGUCAAGCGAAAGCAACUGAAUGGAGGAGGCGACGAUGACAUCUUCAUCCCUGAAAAUGUUUUCAUCCUGGAGGAGACUGUGCAGAAGGCAGAGGAAAGAACAGUUAGUACAGCAUGCCAAACUGACUCCUGGGUGCCAGUGUUCCCGUGCUGCGGUGGAGAAGAGGUCCACCGGGACCAUCACUAAAGAGCUCAGGGCCCAGCUAGAUUGCUCUCACAACCAUCAGUAUACAACCGGGUCCUGCCCCUAUACGCCACAGAUGGAGCUGAAUGAGAGUGAGAUCUGUGAAGACCAUAACUCGCUGUAUGAACCUGAGAGCUCAGAAUCACAAUCAUCACAGUCCGAGCCAAGAUAUACUAUCAAUCACUUUGGGGGAGCGGGUGGUUGUUGCGAAAAUGGAGAAAGAGCAGGCCAUUCAACAGCGAAUUCAAAGAUACACCCAUCCAUAAAGGGAAUCGGAGUGGAAUUGUUUUAACACAGUUUUUUUUUUUACCCGUUUCAAUGGAUGUGCUACCUUGUCCCAGUUCUGCUGUUUCAACUCUCUCUCUCUCAACCUAUGAAUGCCCAGCUACAAAAAGACAACUGACAUUUGCUCCUGAGGUGUUGAACUGUUGCACCCUCUAUAACCACAGUGGUUAUUAUUUUGAUGUAAAAAGGGAUUUUGUAAGUGGUAAUCAGCAGUAGAAACAAUAAAGUGUCUCCCUGCUCCUCUUUCAGUAAAAAGCUGAGGGAUGGGGCUGGAGAAAUGUAACCACUCUCAAAUUCAUAGACCGAGCGAUAGAUGCAAGGACUGACCAUCCAUGAAAUCAAAAUUGUAAUCAUGUUUCUAUGAUCUGUUUCCAUGACCAUGUAACCAGUUCGCUUUGGAUAAAGGCGUCUGCUAAAUGGCAUAUAUUAUUAAAGUCUACUUUGACUCUGCCAACUAGCUGCCCAGUGGUUACCAUUCCUUUCCAAUAGAUGGCAGCCAAAGCUAGUUCAAGUCACUACUCUAGCACAGGGACAUGGGAUUAAUGCUCACUGAAAGUAGUUUUAUUUUUUAUUGAACCUUUAUUUAACUAGGCAAGUCAUUUACAGUGACGGCUUACACCGGCCAAACCUGGACGGUGAGAUUUACCGGUUACUCUGCGCAAACCUCCACCCUCCAAAAAACCCAACAUGAACUCUGACAUUGUGGCUACCUUCUCCUUACUCAUCAUCUCCAGGUCUGACGCCAUUGAGAAAAUGGUAGGCGCGAACACCAUGGUUAUCGAAGGCUUGAAAAAGACUGGAGUUUGCAUGUGGUGAAAUCAAGGACGUGAAAAGGAGUGGCAGAAGUUGAAAAAAUAAGUUGUGGAAAAGAAUAACAAUAUCUACCAUAGACGUCUCACUGAUCUGGAACAAUACACAAGAGCCUGAGACUCUACGGCGUGCCAGAGACGGAGAAUGGGGAUGUGCGACGAGAGGCUAUCCGCAUCUGCCAAGAAGUUAUGCCUGCAGAGACUAACAAAGUUGGUGAUACCAUUAAUGUUGCGCAUCGCCUCAGCAAGAAGCAACAGCAAAACGAUUCAAGACCAAGCGGUAUCAUCAUCUUCACUGCCAGAUUCUACAGGGAUGCUGUCUGGAAAGCUGCUAGGAAGAACACCUUCCUUCAGAGCCAUGGUCUGCGUGUGGCAGGGCUGAAAUGCAGUGGAAAUGUUUUUGGGGGAUUCAGUUCAUUUGCAUGGCAAAGAGGGACUUUGCAAUUAAUUGCAAUUCAUCUGAUCA